GCCAUUCUGCGAGGCCUUGAUCAAGGCUCAUCCAGCGACGUUUGCUGAAGUCAGGCGACUUGCGGUGGCCCACAUCGCCGACGAGAGUGAAGUCGCCGAGAAGAGAGGCAGCGUGGCUCCCGCCAGGCCACGCGCCCAGACCAGGAUCCAGCCGCAGAGGGUGCUGGAAACGGCGGCGGCGGCCAGAAAAGACCAGAGGACUCGCCAUCCUUACGACAGGAGAAACAAGGGAAGAAGCCAAGCGCGCCAACAACCAGCACGCCAGCAACCAGCACGCCGGGAGUACAAUCGCCCGCCUAAGCACAA
Molecule: long non-coding RNA, 306 nt
Filed under: Phaseolus vulgaris (common bean)
Lineage: Eukaryota; Viridiplantae; Streptophyta; Magnoliopsida; Fabales; Fabaceae
Description: long non-coding RNA (PVUL_LNC000665)
Source: RNAcentral